UCCUACGGGGGGCAGCAGUGAGGAAUAUUGGUCAAUGGGCUUACGCCUGAACCAGCCAAGUCGCGUGAGGGAAGACUGCCCUAUGGGUUGUAAACCUCUUUUGUCAGGGAGCAACGCCGGCUACGUGUAGCCGGACUGAGAGUACCUGAAGAAAAAGCAUCGGCUAACUCCGUGCCAGCAGCCGCGGUAAUACGGAGGAUGCGAGCGUUAUCCGGAUUUAUUGGGUUUAAAGGGUGCGUAGGCGGAAUGCCAAGUCAGCGGUAAAAUCGCGGGGCUCAACGUCGCUCCGCCGUUGAAACUGGCGG
This 305-nucleotide ribosomal RNA is filed under the name uncultured bacterium. Its description in RNAcentral is "bacterial SSU rRNA". It matches the Rfam family "Bacterial small subunit ribosomal RNA", at positions 337 to 639 of the family's 1533-position model. The record is from RNAcentral.